AGAGUUUGAUCCUGGCUCAGAACGAACGCUGGCGGCGUGCUUAACACAUGCAAGUCGAGUGCGCGCCUGUAGCAAUACAGGUGGCGCACGGCGCACGGGUGCGUAACACGUGGGCAAUCUGCCCUCUGAUGGGGAAUAACCCGCCGAAAGGCGGGCUAAUACCGCAUAAAAUUCCUUGGACUCAUGUUCGAGGACUCAAAGGCGUAAGUCGUCGGAGGAGGAGCCCGCGCACGAUUAGCUAGUUGGUAGGGUAAUGGCCUACCAAGGCUUUGAUCGUUAGCUGGUCUGAGAGGAUGGCCAGCCACACUGGAACUGAGACACGGUCCAGACUCCUACGGGAGGCAGCAGUGGGGAAUCUUGCACAACGGGCGAAAGCCUGAUGCAGCGACGCCGCGUGGGGGAUGAAGCAUUUCGGUGUGUAAACCCCUUUCGACCCGGACGAAUGCCUCGCAAGAGGAGUGACGGUACGGGUAUAAGAAGCCCCGGCUAACUACGUGCCAGCAGCCGCGGUAAGACGUAGGGGGCCAGCGUUGUUCGGAAUUACUGGGUGUAAAGGGUCAGUAGGCGGUGUGGCAAGUUGGGAGUGAAAUCUAUGGGCUCAACCCAUAGGCUGCUUCCAAAACUGCUGUGCUUGAGUGUGGGAGAGGCGCGUGGAAUUGCAGGUGUAGCGGUGAAAUGCGUAGAUAUCUGCAGGAACACCCGUGGCGAAAGCGGCGCGCUGGACCACAACUGACGCUGAAUGACGAAAGCUAGGGGAGCAAACAGGAUUAGAUACCCUAGUAGUCC
This 786-nucleotide ribosomal RNA is filed under the name uncultured bacterium. RNAcentral's name for it is "bacterial SSU rRNA". It matches the Rfam family "Bacterial small subunit ribosomal RNA", at positions 8 to 796 of the family's 1533-position model. The record is from RNAcentral.